Molecule: ribosomal RNA, 548 nt
Filed under: uncultured bacterium
Lineage: Bacteria
Description: bacterial SSU rRNA
Rfam family: Bacterial small subunit ribosomal RNA
Source: RNAcentral
UGGGGAAUUUUGGACAAUGGGGGCAACCCUGAUCCAGCCAUGCCGCGUGCGGGAAGAAGGCCUUCGGGUUGUAAACCGCUUUUAGUCGGGAAGAAAAGGCAUCUCCUAAUACGGGGUGUUCUUGACGGUACCGGCGGAAUAAGCACCGGCUAACUACGUGCCAGCAGCCGCGGUAAUACGUAGGGUGCGAGCGUUAAUCGGAAUUACUGGGCGUAAAGCGUGCGCAGGCGGUUCGUUAAGUCUGAUGUGAAAGCCCCGGGCUCAACCUGGGAAUGGCAUUGGAGACUGGCGGGCUGGAGUGUGGCAGAGGGGGGAGGAAUUCCGCGUGUAGCAGUGAAAUGCGUAGAGAUGCGGAGGAACACCGAUGGCGAAGGCAGCCCCCUGGGCCAACACUGACGCUCAGGCACGAAAGCGUGGGGAGCAAACAGGAUUAGAUACCCUGGUAGUCCACGCCCUAAACGAUGUCGACUAGGUGUUGGGGAAGCGAUUCCUUGGUACCGUAGCUAACGCGUGAAGUCGACCGCCUGGGGAGUACGACCGCAAGGUUA